Molecule: unclassified non-coding RNA, 259 nt
Filed under: Hevea brasiliensis (rubber tree)
Lineage: Eukaryota; Viridiplantae; Streptophyta; Magnoliopsida; Malpighiales; Euphorbiaceae
Source: RNAcentral
GACAAUAUUGAGGAUGGUUCCCUGGAGCUUGAGAAAGGUGAAUUUUUUCUUGCGAGUGUGAUAGAUGCUGUUGUUAGCCAAGUGAUGUUAUUAUUGAGGGAAAGAGGAGUUCAACUUAUCCGUGAUAUUCCAGACGAAAUCAAGACAUUGAGGGUCUAUGGAGAUCAAGUCAGAAUUCAACAGGUUUUCGCUGAUUUCUUACAGAUUAUGGCAAGCUAUGCACCACCCCGGGAAGGGUGGGUAGAAGUCCAUCUUCGAC